AUUGAACGCUGGCGGCAUGCUUUACACAUGCAAGUCGAACGGUAACAGGUCUUCGGAUGCUGACGAGUGGCGAACGGGUGAGUAAUACAUCGGAACGUGCCUAGUAGUGGGGGAUAACUACUCGAAAGAGUAGCUAAUACCGCAUGAGAUCUACGGAUGAAAGCAGGGGACCUUCGGGCCUUGUGCUACUAGAGCGGCUGAUGGCAGAUUAGGUAGUUGGUGGGGUAAAGGCUUACCAAGCCUGCGAUCUGUAGCUGGUCUGAGAGGACGACCAGCCACACUGGGACUGAGACACGGCCCAGACUCCUACGGGAGGCAGCAGUGGGGAAUUUUGGACAAUGGGCGAAAGCCUGAUCCAGCAAUGCCGCGUGCAGGAUGAAGGCCCUCGGGUUGUAAACUGCUUUUGUACGGAACGAAAAGCCUGGGGCUAAUAUCCCCGGGUCAUGACGGUACCGUAAGAAUAAGCACCGGCUAACUACGUGCCAGCAGCCGCGGUAAUACGUAGGGUGCAAGCGUUAAUCGGAAUUACUGGGCGUAAAGCGUGCGCAGGCGGUUUUGUAAGACAGUGGUGAAAUCCCCGGGCUCAACCUGGGAACUGCCAUUGUGACUGCAAGGCUAGAGUGCGGCAGAGGGGGAUGGAAUUCCGCGUGUAGCAGUGAAAUGCGUAGAUAUGCGGAGGAACACCGAUGGCGAAGGCAAUCCCCUGGGCCUGCACUGACGCUCAUGCACGAAAGCGUGGGGAGCAAACAGGAUUAGAUACCCUGGUAGUCCACGCCCUAAACGAUGUCAACUGGUUGUUGGGUCUUAACUGACUCAGUAACGAAGCUAACGCGUGAAGUUGACCGCCUGGGGAGUACGGCCGCAAGGUUGGAACUCAAAGGAAUUGACGGAGACCCGCACAAGCGGUGGAUGAUGUGGUUUAAUUCGAUGCAACGCGAAAAACCUUACCCACCUUUGACAUGGCAGGAACUUACCAGAGAUGGUUUGGUGCUCGAAAGAGAACCUGCACACAGGUGCUGCAUGGCUGUCGUCAGCUCGUGUCGUGAGAUGUUGGGUUAAGUCCCGCAACGAGCGCAACCCUUGCCAUUAGUUGCUACAUUCAGUUGAGCACUCUAAUGGGACUGCCGGUGACAAACCGGAGGAAGGUGGGGAUGACGUCAAGUCCUCAUGGCCCUUAUAGGUGGGGCUACACACGUCAUACAAUGGCUGGUACAAAGGGUUGCCAACCCGCGAGGGGGAGCUAAUCCCAUAAAGCCAGUCGUAGUCCGGAUCGCAGUCUGCAACUCGACUGCGUGAAGUCGGAAUCGCUAGUAAUCGUGGAUCAGAAUGUCACGGUGAAUACGUUCCCGGGUCU
RNAcentral lists this ribosomal RNA (1354 nucleotides) under uncultured bacterium. Its description in RNAcentral is "bacterial SSU rRNA". It matches the Rfam family "Bacterial small subunit ribosomal RNA", at positions 28 to 1381 of the family's 1533-position model. The record is from RNAcentral.